AGCGAACGCUGGCGGCAGGCUUAACACAUGCAAGUCGAGCGGGCGUAGCAAUACGUCAGCGGCAGACGGGUGAGUAACGCGUGGGAACAUACCUUUUGGUUCGGAACAACACAGGGAAACUUGUGCUAAUACCGGAUAAGCCCUUACGGGGAAAGAUUUAUCGCCGAAAGAUUGGCCCGCGUCUGAUUAGCUAGUUGGUGAGGUAACGGCUCACCAAGGCGACGAUCAGUAGCUGGCUGAGAGGAUGAUCAGCCACAUUGGGACUGAGACACGGCCCAAACUCCUACGGGAGGCAGCAGUGGGGAAUAUUGGACAAUGGGCGCAAGCCUGAUCCAGCCAUGCCGCGUGAGUGAUGAAGGCCCUAGGGUUGUAAAGCUCUUUGUGCGGGAAGAUAAUGACGGUACCGCAAGAAUAACGCCCCGGCUAACUUCGUGCCAGCAGCCGCUGUAAC
RNAcentral lists this ribosomal RNA (451 nucleotides) under uncultured bacterium. RNAcentral describes it as "bacterial SSU rRNA". It matches the Rfam family "Bacterial small subunit ribosomal RNA", at positions 29 to 524 of the family's 1533-position model. The record is from RNAcentral.